GACGAACGCUGGCGGCGUGCUUAACACAUGCAAGUCGAACGGAAAGGCCCUGCUUGCAGGGUGCUCGAGUGGCGAACGGGUGAGUAGCACGUGGGUGAUCUGCCCCUUACUUUGGGAUAAGCCUGGGAAACUGGGUCUAAUACUGGAUAGGACCAUGCUGUAGGUGGUGUGGUGGAAAGAUUAGUUUCGGUAAGGGAUGAGCUCGCGGCCUAUCAGCUUGUUGGUGGGGUAAUGGCCUACCAAGGCGUCGACGGGUAGCCGGCCUGAGAGGGUGGACGGCCACAUUGGGACUGAGAUACGGCCCAGACUCCUACGGGAGGCAGCAGUGGGGAAUAUUGCACAAUGGGCGCAAGCCUGAUGCAGCGACGCCGCGUGGGGGAUGACGGCCUUCGGGUUGUAAACUCCUUUCAGCCAUGACGAAGCCCUUGUGGUGACGGUAGUGGUAGAAGAAGCACCGGCUAACUACGUG
This 469-nucleotide ribosomal RNA is filed under the name uncultured bacterium. RNAcentral's name for it is "partial 16S ribosomal RNA". It matches the Rfam family "Bacterial small subunit ribosomal RNA", at positions 28 to 507 of the family's 1533-position model. The record is from RNAcentral.